This is a long non-coding RNA of Adelges cooleyi (spruce gall adelgid), 549 nucleotides long. RefSeq lists it as uncharacterized. The transcript is spliced from 3 exons. The record is from RefSeq and is a predicted model, not a curated record. NCBI's taxonomy places the organism in Eukaryota, Metazoa, Arthropoda, Insecta, Hemiptera, Adelgidae.
CGCGGUACGAACAACAUCGAACCAGAGCCCUGAAGAUGGAGCAUGCAAGUUUUUCGAAACGUUGGCGAACCAGUCAAGAUAUCCAAAUGGGAGUAACCGCAAGGCGUGUAAACAGUGUAAAAUGGACGCCAAAAACAUAGAUCCGGAUACAGCAGACCAUCCAGCGGCUCGGUCGACAUCUCGGUAAAUUCCCUCGGUGUGCGCCAGGAUACGACGAACAAGACAAAACUGUUAGAACCUUAGGCUUGACACCGGAAUAGCCUUUUGUGUUGCUUGUAUAUGUACCAAGUUGAAAGCGACAUCGGAGAUUCCUAACUUACUUCAAAAUUCUUCGAGUUUCCUACUAUUUAUUAAACUGUUGCUUAACCCUCUACUCUCCACUUCACUCGAAUAUGUCAUGUUUUAGUUAUGUGUUCUAUAACGUUUUUGGACGCCGUUUCUGUUGUAACAAUAUUACACUCAAUACAUGCAGUAGCAGAUCUAGGAAUGAAAAAAAGGAGAAACUGGAAACAAAGUCCCUUAAAAUACAUACAAGCAAUAGUCAUAAAG